UGUCAUUUACAUUGUAUACAUAUCCUACCUCACAAACAGAAAACAGUUUGUCACCAUCAGAGUCUCCAGUUCCACCCCGGCCCCAGUCAACCAUGGUGUACCUCAAGGCUCUGUGCUGGGACCCCUCCUCUUCACCAUCUACAUGCUCCCCCUUGGUCAGAUCAUCCGCCACCACGGUCUCAG
Long non-coding RNA from Sebastes umbrosus (honeycomb rockfish), 183 nucleotides. RefSeq lists it as uncharacterized. The transcript has 3 exons. The record is from RefSeq and is a predicted model, not a curated record. Lineage: Eukaryota; Metazoa; Chordata; Actinopteri; Perciformes; Sebastidae.